UCAGUUUGGUUUGCUUGCAAACCAAAGCUGGCGACCGGCGCACGGGUGAGUAACACGUAUCCAACCUGCCUCAUACUCGGGGAUAGCCUUUCGAAAGAAAGAUUAAUAUCCGAUAGCAUAUAUUUCCCGCAUGGGUUUUAUAUUAAAGAAAUUCGGUAUGAGAUGGGGAUGCGUUCCAUUAGUUUGUUGGCGGGGUAACGGCCCACCAAGACUACGAUGGAUAGGGGUUCUGAGAGGAAGGUCCCCCACAUUGGAACUGAGACACGGUCCAAACUCCUACGGGAGGCAGCAGUGAGGAAUAUUGGUCAAUGGACGCGAGUCUGAACCAGCCAAGUAGCGUGAAGGAUGACUGCCCUAUGGGUUGUAAACUUCUUUUAUAUGGGAAUAAAGUGGUCCACGUGUGGAUUUUUGUAUGUACCAUAUGAAUAAGGAUCGGCUAACUCCGUGCCAGCAGCCGCGGUAAUACGGAGGAUCCGAGCGUUAUCCGGAUUUAUUGGGUUUAAAGGGAGCGUAGGCGGAUUGUUAAGUCAGUUGUGAAAGUUUGCGGCUCAACCGUAAAAUUGCAGUUGAUACUGGCAGUCUUGAGUGCAGUAGAGGUGGGCGGAAUUCGUGGUGUAGCGGUGAAAUGCUUAGAUGUCACGAAGAACUCCGAUUGCGAAGGCAGCUCACUGGAGUGUAACUGACGCUGAUGCUCGAAA
Molecule: ribosomal RNA, 698 nt
Filed under: uncultured Bacteroidales bacterium
Lineage: Bacteria; Pseudomonadati; Bacteroidota; Bacteroidia; Bacteroidales
Description: bacterial SSU rRNA
Rfam family: Bacterial small subunit ribosomal RNA
Source: RNAcentral